Molecule: long non-coding RNA, 583 nt
Organism: Nicotiana attenuata
Lineage: Eukaryota; Viridiplantae; Streptophyta; Magnoliopsida; Solanales; Solanaceae
Exons: 2
Source: RefSeq, a predicted model, not a curated record
AUCCCCACCUCCACAGCCCCACCGCAUCUCCGCCCCCUCCCGCCUUCCGCCGCCGGCCGGAAAUCGCCUCCGCCGGCGGCGGUGCUCCAAAUAACCCAAAAAAUACACCAUGGAAUCCUCUCAUCCUCCUCUUUCCAACCCCCAACCUAAUUUCCCUCAAAUCACAACCAAAAUGCUCGGAUUUCAAAUCUAAAAUUCUGCCAAAACCCUACCUUCUCCAAACUCAACCAAAUUAACACCAUACACUCCCCUCACCCUCCUCAUUCCAAAUCUCCAAACAACAACCUUCAAAACUUAACCAAAAUACUUGAAUUUUAAAUCUAAAACCAACGAAACCCUAGUUCAAAAUCUUUGAGAUUCUCGACCCUAAUAUCCUUAACCAGGUGUCUUCUUGUGAAGACACAUGGUUAGGUAUAUUACGGGUCAAGAAUCUUAAAAAAGAUUCGCGUGUCCGGGGAUCGAAUCAAGUUUGGCCGCCUCUAGAUACCAAAAACAGUAUCUUUCCUAGCCCAAUGAACCAUGACUAAGUGCUAAUCAUGUAACUCAGUGACUAUGAUGGAAUACAAAUUGCAUUUCGAUUCAA